UCGUGGGUCCCGUGCGAUGUGGCCCGUGAAACCCGUCAGGUCCGGAAGGAAGCAGCGGUAAGCGAUCAACCAUAUGUGCCGCGGGGAAGCCUGCCUCGG
Molecule: signal recognition particle RNA, 99 nt
Filed under: Fastidiosipila sp.
Lineage: Bacteria; Bacillati; Bacillota; Clostridia; Eubacteriales; Oscillospiraceae
Also listed under: 1 other name
Description: signal recognition particle sRNA small type
Rfam family: Bacterial small signal recognition particle RNA
About the family: The signal recognition particle (SRP) is a universally conserved ribonucleoprotein involved in the co-translational targeting of proteins to membranes. Archaeal SRP consists of a 7S RNA and homologues of the eukaryotic SRP19 and SRP54 proteins.
Source: RNAcentral